This is a long non-coding RNA of Gorilla gorilla gorilla (western lowland gorilla), 1176 nucleotides long. RefSeq lists it as uncharacterized. The transcript has 2 exons. The record is from RefSeq and is a predicted model, not a curated record. NCBI's taxonomy places the organism in Eukaryota, Metazoa, Chordata, Mammalia, Primates, Hominidae.
CGCUGCACCUCCUCCCUGGCCGCCCCGGCCUGGAAGGCGGGCGGCGCGCCCAGCAGCUCCACAUUGGUCACGGUCUUGCCGAUGGUGAACCAGUCGUUGAUCUGCUCGAUGGUGGCGGUGUCAGACUCACAGCUGGACACAAACAGGUGCGGACAGGAGGUCCAGGCGAUCACAUGGACAAAAGAUACAGGCUGAGGUGGUCCCGGCCGAGCUCUGGAAGAGUGAGGGUGGAGAACAGAGCCCUAGCAAACUCCCCAAAAGAAGGAGCAGCGGGAAGAAAUCCAGCAAAGGAUGCACGGGAAGGCAGCUACAUGUGCAAGGGAAGGGAGGGUCAGAAGAGAGACAUGGCCACCUGCCUGGGGUAUGUCCCCCUCACUGGCCAGGGCAGGAUCUAUCUGGCCCAUGUGGGCUCUCAGGAAAGAGCCAUGUGAACAAAUACAGAGACGGUAUCGAGAGCAUGACUCUAAUCAGCAGUGUAAAGCCCAAGCAGUGGCAAAUAAGAGGGCGGUUUGAAAACAGUGUAGACAGAAAUCAGCCAGGUAGGUUGAGCUAUUGGUGUCUCAAAAAUUGAACCCAUAAUCAUACUAAGCCAGGAGUUCUGGCUCCAAAUCCUGGCCUAAUGAGCUCUAGACCUCAUAUUAGGACUUUGCCAAAUAUGACAGGUUCCAAAAAGUGCCUCAACACACUUUGCCAGGAAGAAAUAACUUGCUUUUCUUUUUUCUUUUGAGGCAGGGUCUCACUCCUGUCGCCCAGGCUGGAGUGCCAUGCUGCAAUCAGGGCUCACUGCAGCCUGAACUUCGGGGGCUCAGGUGAUGCUCCCACCACAACCUCCUGCAUAGCUGGUACUACAGGCUCACGCCACCACCACACCGGCUAAUUUUUUAUAUUGUUAGUACAGACAGGGGUUUCGCUGUGUUGCCCAGGCCAGUCUCAAGCUCCUGGGCUCAAGCACUCUGUUUGGGAGCCCUUGGCCUCCCAAAGUGUUGAGACUACAAGCAUGAACCACCAUGCCCAGCCAUGUUUUUCAAAAAAUAAGAAAAAAGGUAAUCAUAAAGUAAUUGAGACUCAUGGUAUGUCAUUCAGCAUUGAUUGGAAAAUAUUGUAACUUCACACUGUAUGUGGAGGCUAGGACAUAAUUCAAAAUUUUACAAAAUAAAUUGAAACCACUUGAAGCAA